RNAcentral lists this non-coding RNA (52 nucleotides) under unclassified sequences. Its description in RNAcentral is "L31-Actinobacteria ribosomal protein leader". It matches the Rfam family "L31-Actinobacteria ribosomal protein leader". The record is from RNAcentral.
GCGGUACCGGUUCACGCCGCGGCGGCAUCCCCGCCCAGGCGACCCGGCGACC